UAGAGAGUAGUAUAGUGGAGGUACGUGGGGUUUUGAGCCCCUCAGUGCAGGUUCGAACCCUGUUUUUUUA
This 70-nucleotide transfer RNA is filed under the name Plestiodon brevirostris (shortnose skink). Its description in RNAcentral is "tRNA-Gln". It matches the Rfam family "tRNA". Rfam says of the family: Transfer RNA (tRNA) molecules are approximately 80 nucleotides in length. Their secondary structure includes four short double-helical elements and three loops (D, anti-codon, and T loops). Lineage: Eukaryota; Metazoa; Chordata; Lepidosauria; Squamata; Scincidae. The record is from RNAcentral.